GAUGAACGCUGGCGGCGUGCCUAAUACAUGCAAGUCGAGCGAACAGACGAGGAGCUUGCUCCUCUGACGUUAGCGGCGGACGGGUGAGUAACACGUGGAUAACCUACCUAUAAGACUGGGAUAACUUCGGGAAACCGGAGCUAAUACCGGAUAAUAUAUUUAACCGCAUGGUUCAAUAGUGAAAGACGGUUUUGCUGUCACUUAUAGAUGGAUCCGCGCCGCAUUAGCUAGUUGGUAAGGUAACGGCUUACCAAGGCGACGAUGCGUAGCCGACCUGAGAGUGUGAUCCGCCACACUAGAACUGAGACACGGUCCAGACUCAUACGGGAGGCAGCAGUAGGGAAUGUGCCGCAAUGGGCGAAAGCCUGAUGGAGCAACGCCGCGUGAGUGAUGAAGGUCUUCGGAUCGUAAAACUCUGUUAUUAGGGAAGAACAAAUGUGGAAGUAACUAUGCACGUAUUGACGGUACAUAAUCAGAAAGACACGGAUAACUACGUG
RNAcentral lists this ribosomal RNA (497 nucleotides) under uncultured bacterium. Its description in RNAcentral is "partial 16S ribosomal RNA". It matches the Rfam family "Bacterial small subunit ribosomal RNA", at positions 28 to 507 of the family's 1533-position model. The record is from RNAcentral.